Molecule: ribosomal RNA, 253 nt
Filed under: uncultured bacterium
Lineage: Bacteria
Description: partial 16S ribosomal RNA
Rfam family: Bacterial small subunit ribosomal RNA
Source: RNAcentral
GACGAACCGUGCGAACGUUAUUCGGAAUCACUGGGCUUAAAGGGCGCGUAGGCGGGCUCGCAGGUCAGGGGUGAAAGCCCACGGCUCAACCGUGGAAGUGCCUUUGAUACCGUGAGUCUCGAGGGAGGUAGGGGCGUGCGGAACUUCCGGUGGAGCGGUGAAAUGCGUAGAUAUCGGAAGGAACAUCGGUGGCGAAAGCGGCGCGCUAGACCUCUUCUGACGCUGAGGCGCGAAAGCCAGGGGAGCAAACGGG